RNAcentral lists this ribosomal RNA (279 nucleotides) under uncultured bacterium. RNAcentral describes it as "partial 16S ribosomal RNA". It matches the Rfam family "Bacterial small subunit ribosomal RNA", at positions 80 to 354 of the family's 1533-position model. The record is from RNAcentral.
UUGCUUCUCCGCCGGCGACCGGCGCACGGGUGAGUAACACGUAUGCAACCUGCCCCUGUCGAGGGGGACAACCCGCCGAAAGGCGGGCUAAACCCGCGUACAUGCCACCGGGGCAUCCCGGAGGCAGGAAAGGCUUCGGCCGGACAGGGAUGGGCAUGCGGCGCAUUAGGCAGUAGGCGGGGUAACGGCCCACCUAACCGACGAUGCGUAGGGGUUCUGAGAGGAAGGUCCCCCACACUGGUACUGAGACACGGACCAGACUCCUACGGAAGGCAGCAG